CCCAAAGCCCAACUUGGGUCGAACGGUGUGGUGGGUGGAGGCGCCUUCGACUGGAGGAGGCGUACUCUUGUCUCAAAAAAAAAGGAGGAGGCGUACUCGGGAUUAUUCCGUGCGCGCCGGCGAAUAUCCGCUCCCGCGACCGCGAGUGCGAAUAUUUGGGCGAGAAGAUCCAGCGAAUGUACCGUCCGCUUUCUCUCUCUGUCGCUGCUUUUGCCUUGCUUGCAGUGCACGCACGGCCACCCGCAGUCCUCUUCUUCGUCCGUCCCUGCCGCGCGUGCGCCCCUCUCCAAGCUCGUUUCAUUCGCCCGUGCCCUCGCCGCCGGUCAUCCCCGCGUCGCCGCCGAUCACCGCUUCACCAGGAGCGGGGAAGGGGGCCUUUCGGCGCAACAUUCGAGCUCGUAUUGCAUUGCACCAGGAAGAAAAAGGUCGCUGCUCUUUCGCUUGCUGAGGUAAGAUCAAAUCAUCUUAUCCGUGAUUUCCUAAGGAUUUAUUUUACUUGCUCAAGCUUUUGAACAUUCCUUUCCAUCAAUCCGCCCCUUCUUCAACUAUGACGCCGUGCGUGUGUUCUUCAACCUGUGAUUUUCAUUUUCUUGUAUAUACCGGCUUCCAAUUUGCCAUUGCUCUAAAAUGAGCGAGUCUACACUCUAAAAUGCGUCUGUAUACAUCUUAUAUAGUUCGUAUUGAAAUCUCUAAAAAAAUCUUAUAUUUAGAAAUGGAUGGAGUAUGUGCCACUGUUGUAUACGAGUACAUCCGCAACUAACAUUGCACAGGUAAGAAAAUAUUCACCUACCCCAGAAGGGUGCAGAGAAGUGAAGAUCGAGUCGAUUUAUUCAAAGGGAUGAUCACAGCACAACAAUGGAGUACACAACAACGCCGACAUCAACAACGCAACGCAACAUGCGGCCGUGUACAUAUUGGUCACAGCUUAAUUACACUCAUCACACAAGGUACAUCCAUUUGCUCUCUCCGAGCUACAGUAAUAGUACAAUGUAUGGCAGCACAUCUCAAUCACCACGCCCUGCGACGCUUCUGCCCAGGUGCGCGCAAUGCAGGUAUAGCUCCUCUGUUCUUCAGUCUUGAAACGUUGUUUCUGCCGAGAGCAGAGGGCCUUUCUCAAGGGAGGAGGAAAAAUAGGUUCAAUUCUUGCGGAGAUGCUACUCUAAAUUCGUCUCAUCUCCACAGAUGGUAUACGGAGGAGACAUGAAAUAUGAUCUCCUCGCCGGCUUCGGGGGUAUAAUUUACAUGUCUUUUGUUUCUGCAAAAUCAAACACACCAACUGCGGUAAGCGAAUCUGCCAGGAAUUAGGAAAUACGACGACUUAUGUAUGUAGUGGAGGAAGAGUUUGUUUACCUUAUGAUGACUGGAUCGCCACGACCCUCACGGGCUUCGUUACUCUUACAAUGUUCCUCACAUGCUCAAACGCCAUCACUAUCAGGCCUAUGACAUAAAGAAAGCUUAGUUGCAACUUUGCAAGUAGGUUAUACGCUGCUACGGCAGCGUUGCCAGCUUCGCCUGUUCGUAUCGUGAGGGUUACAGGCCUCGCAGAAAUAAGGGCCCCGGUUUCUGGUUGUAAAGAUCAGCGUAAGAGGUGUGCCUUCCAAAGCCUUCGAAUGAAUUUUGUGACCGUCAGCCGGUUAAGCAUACCUGAUGUGUUCUCCGGCUGGGACGACCACUCUUGAGGUGCCAUCGCAUACUUUGUGGCCUUUAUCAGAUCCAUUAGGGCGUUGUUGACCUGUCAUAGAUUGAUAAUCACAUCAGUUCCUUACUUUCUUAUGCUCUACGGUCACUUGUAAAGAUGAAUGAGAGGAGAAAUCAAUGCUCAUUAUCACAA
This is a long non-coding RNA of Triticum aestivum (bread wheat), 1831 nucleotides long. RefSeq lists it as uncharacterized. NCBI's taxonomy places the organism in Eukaryota, Viridiplantae, Streptophyta, Magnoliopsida, Poales, Poaceae. The transcript has 2 exons. The record is from RefSeq and is a predicted model, not a curated record.